UUUUUUUUUCUUUUAUUAUAAGUAACAAAUUAUGAUCAUAAAGAUCUAGAAAGUUAUUUCUUUAAUUUUUGGAAGAUAAAAUUAUAAGUAAAUAAUUAAUAGGAUAACUAAGUAUCUAAUAAGACUAACAUCUAUGGUUGCUAAUUGCACAUGGAGGAGGAAAAGAAACUAGAAAAUUCUCUGUAAACCAUUACCAUGUAAAGCAGAAAGCAAGAAAAUGAUCUCAUCAUCACUCCCAUCAUAGUGAUCGAUCUGAUCUUGAAGGCUAUGGAAAUCAGCAACAAUCUCAUCAGGCAAGACCUUUGUUCUGCAAAGAGGGCAAGUAGCCAAAUAUUGCUGAAGCCAUUUGUCAAGGCAAUCUUUGUGAAAUGUGUGUUUACAUUUCAAUUUCCUAACACUUUCUCCUUCCAAAAAUUCCGAUAAACAAACUGCGCAUUCUAUUACCGAUUGCUGCCUCAGCUUUUCUGUAUAAAGAAUUGCUGGAUUUUUCUCUUCAAUUAACUGGAGAUAUUGAACGGUGCUUAUUACGCUUCGCUUAUCCGAAUUCGUGAUGCUUCCGGUGAUCGACCGGAAAAGAAUUACGGCUUCGAGGGCGAGGAGGCAGAAGGAGACUAUGGCUACGGUGUAGAGACGAGAGAGGAUUUCUGAGAGAUUUGCCAUGGCUGCUGAGGAAGGAAGAAACUAGCAUGGGCGAGGGAAUUAUUAUUAUUAUUAUCAUUUUCUCAAUGAAAAAAUCUUAUGUAGCAGUACUGAGUGGCAGCUCGGCUCAAUUCAUCUGAUCAUUUAUGUUUCCUUCACCUCUUGGGUUUAUCGAAUUU
This 818-nucleotide unclassified non-coding RNA is filed under the name Hevea brasiliensis (rubber tree). The record is from RNAcentral. Lineage: Eukaryota; Viridiplantae; Streptophyta; Magnoliopsida; Malpighiales; Euphorbiaceae.